GGUGCAGCAGGCGCGAAAACUUUACAAUGCUGGCAACAGCGAUAAGGGGACCUCGAGUGCCAGGUUACAAAUCUGGCUGUCGUGAUGCCUAAAAAGCAUUGCAUAGCAAGGGCCGGGCAAGACCGGUGCCAGCCGCCGCGGUAACACCGGCGGCUCGAGUGGUAACCGUUAUUAUUGGGUCUAAAGGGUCUGUAGCCGGCCGGAUAAGUCUCUUGGGAAAUCUGGCAGCUUAACUGUCAGGCUUUCAGGAGAUACUGUCUGGCUCGAGGCCGGGAGAGGUGAGAGGUACUUCAGGGGUAGGGGUGAAAUCUUGUAAUCCUUGAAGGACCACCAGUGGCGAAGGCGUCUCACCAGAACGGACCUGACGGCAAGGGACGAAAGCUAGGGGCACGAACCGGAUUAGAUACCCGGGUAGUCCUAGCCGUAAACGAUACUCGCUAGGUGUCGGCCACGGUGCGACCGUUGUCGGUGCCGUAGGGAAGCCGUGAAGCGAGCCACCUGGGAAGUACGGCCGCAAGGCUGAAACUUAAAGGAAUUGGCGGGGGAGCACAAGGGCGAAUUCGCG
Molecule: ribosomal RNA, 565 nt
Filed under: uncultured archaeon
Lineage: Archaea
Description: bacterial SSU rRNA
Rfam family: Archaeal small subunit ribosomal RNA
Source: RNAcentral